RNAcentral lists this ribosomal RNA (630 nucleotides) under uncultured Actinomycetes bacterium. Its description in RNAcentral is "bacterial SSU rRNA". It matches the Rfam family "Bacterial small subunit ribosomal RNA", at positions 232 to 873 of the family's 1533-position model. The record is from RNAcentral. Lineage: Bacteria; Bacillati; Actinomycetota; Actinomycetes.
CGCGGCCUAUCAGCUUGUUGGUGGGGUAAUGGCCUACCAAGGCGACGACGGGUAGCCGACCUGAGAGGGUGACCGGCCACACUGGGACUGAGACACGGCCCAGACUCCUACGGGAGGCAGCAGUGGGGAAUAUUGCACAAUGGGCGAAAGCCUGAUGCAGCGACGCCGCGUGAGGGAUGACGGCCUUCGGGUUGUAAACCUCUUUCAGCAGGGACGAAGCGCAAGUGACGGUACCUGCAGAAGAAGCACCGGCUAACUACGUGCCAGCAGCCGCGGUAAUACGUAGGGUGCAAGCGUUGCCCGGAAUUACUGGGCGUAAAGAGUUCGUAGGCGGUUUGUCGCGUCGUUUGUGAAAACCAGCAGCUCAGCUGCUGGCUUGCAGGCGAUACGGGCAGACUUGAGUACUGCAGGGGAGACUGGAAUUCCUGGUGUAGCGGUGAAAUGCACAGAUAUCAGGAGGAACACCGGUGGCGAAGGCGGGUCUCUGGGCAGUAACUGACGCUGAGGAACGAAAGCGUGGGUAGCGAACAGGAUUAGAUACCCUGGUAGUCCACGCCGUAAACGGUGGGCGCUAGGUGUGGGUUCCUUCCACGGAAUCCGUGCCGUAGCUAACGCAUUAAGCGCCCCGCC